This 99-nucleotide transfer RNA is filed under the name Gammaproteobacteria bacterium. Its description in RNAcentral is "tRNA-OTHER". The stretch from base 13 to 96 matches the Rfam family "tRNA". Rfam says of the family: Transfer RNA (tRNA) molecules are approximately 80 nucleotides in length. Their secondary structure includes four short double-helical elements and three loops (D, anti-codon, and T loops). The record is from RNAcentral. Lineage: Bacteria; Pseudomonadati; Pseudomonadota; Gammaproteobacteria.
GUAGGGGUGGAGGGCAGGAUGCCCGGAAUAACGAGCACGCCUGGAAAGUGUGUAUACGCUAACCGCGUAUCGAGGGUUCGAAUCCCUCUCUCUCCGCCA